Molecule: ribosomal RNA, 1025 nt
Filed under: Microbacterium sp.
Lineage: Bacteria; Bacillati; Actinomycetota; Actinomycetes; Micrococcales; Microbacteriaceae
Description: bacterial SSU rRNA
Rfam family: Bacterial small subunit ribosomal RNA
Source: RNAcentral
CUCUUUUAGCAGGGAAGAAGCGAAAGUGACGGUACCUGCAGAAAAAGCGCCGGCUAACUACGUGCCAGCAGCCGCGGUAAUACGUAGGGCGCAAGCGUUAUCCGGAAUUAUUGGGCGUAAAGAGCUCGUAGGCGGUUUGUCGCGUCUGCUGUGAAAACCCGAGGCUCAACCUCGGGCCUGCAGUGGGUACGGGCAGACUAGAGUGCGGUAGGGGAGAUUGGAAUUCCUGGUGUAGCGGUGGAAUGCGCAGAUAUCAGGAGGAACACCGAUGGCGAAGGCAGAUCUCUGGGCCGUAACUGACGCUGAGGAGCGAAAGGGUGGGGAGCAAACAGGCUUAGAUACCCUGGUAGUCCACCCCGUAAACGUUGGGAACUAGUUGUGGGGUCCAUUCCACGGAUUCCGUGACGCAGCUAACGCAUUAAGUUCCCCGCCUGGGGAGUACGGCCGCAAGGCUAAAACUCAAAGGAAUUGACGGGGACCCGCACAAGCGGCGGAGCAUGCGGAUUAAUUCGAUGCAACGCGAAGAACCUUACCAAGGCUUGACAUAUACGAGAACGGGCCAGAAAUGGUCAACUCUUUGGACACUCGUAAACAGGUGGUGCAUGGUUGUCGUCAGCUCGUGUCGUGAGAUGUUGGGUUAAGUCCCGCAACGAGCGCAACCCUCGUUCUAUGUUGCCAGCACGUAAUGGUGGGAACUCAUGGGAUACUGCCGGGGUCAACUCGGAGGAAGGUGGGGAUGACGUCAAAUCAUCAUGCCCCUUAUGUCUUGGGCUUCACGCAUGCUACAAUGGCCGGUACAAAGGGCUGCAAUACCGCAAGGUGGAGCGAAUCCCAAAAAGCCGGUCCCAGUUCGGAUUGAGGUCUGCAACUCGACCUCAUGAAGUCGGAGUCGCUAGUAAUCGCAGAUCAGCAACGCUGCGGUGAAUACGUUCCCGGGUCUUGUACACACCGCCCGUCAAGUCAUGAAAGUCGGUAACACCUGAAGCCGGUGGCCCAACCCUUGUGGAGGGAGCCGUCGAAGGUGG